ACUCGUGUUGUUCUGUAGUCUAAGGCAAAAGAUUUUAAUCACAAUUGAUAAAACUUUCAACAACGGAUCUCUUGGCUCUGGCAUCGAUGAAGAACGCAGCGAAAUGCGAUAAGUAAUGUGAAUUGCAGAAUUUAGUGAAUCAUCGAAUCUUUGA
RNAcentral lists this ribosomal RNA (154 nucleotides) under Erysiphe salmonii. RNAcentral's name for it is "5.8S ribosomal RNA". The stretch from base 52 to 154 matches the Rfam family "5.8S ribosomal RNA", at positions 1 to 103 of the family's 154-position model. From Rfam's summary of the family: 5.8S ribosomal RNA (5.8S rRNA) is a component of the large subunit of the eukaryotic ribosome. The record is from RNAcentral. Lineage: Eukaryota; Fungi; Ascomycota; Leotiomycetes; Helotiales; Erysiphaceae.